RNAcentral lists this long non-coding RNA (1239 nucleotides) under Phascolarctos cinereus (koala). RNAcentral describes it as "lncRNA (ENSPCIG00000030779.1)". The record is from RNAcentral. Lineage: Eukaryota; Metazoa; Chordata; Mammalia; Diprotodontia; Phascolarctidae.
CUGAGGCUGGAUUUGAACUCAGGUCCUCCUGACUCCAGGACCAGUACUGCCAUUGCUGUUAACUUUCUCACUUUGAGAUUCCAGGUGGAGGACUGGUUUUGGGCCCAGGCUCUGUGGAGUUGAGUCUGAUGCUGGCAGGGGGUAGUGGUCGAAGUCUUUGCGAGUUUGCACAGAGCACAAAAAGGAAGAAAGCUAUGAUUCUCAGUAGAAGGAACACUGGAACUAUUGUGUCAUAGUCACGAUGAAACAGAAGCGGCCUAGAGAAUUGCAACAGCCAACGGUUACGUAGUGCUUGACGGAUGACAUAUGAUGGAUUCUAUCCACCAGCCACUUACGUAACUACAUGGGUAGCAGACCGAGAAGGUAAAGCUUCAGAAAUUCUUAGGGCAGGGUGGAACGCCAACUAGCCUCAACAGUACUUUAAACUGAGCACAGGGCUAAAUCUUGAAGUCUUAAGCUGUUUGCUCACUUGGCAGUCUGUUGCAAGAGUCCGGCACUGGACACUAUUUCUGGAACUUGAUGACUUCAAACUUUUAGCAGAGUGGCCCCCCCCCCCUUCAGCCACCCAGCCUAAGACACACUUGGGACUUCUGCAGGGCUUGGCUUCUUUAGAGAGCCCUCCCAGAGUUAAUUUCUCCUGAUCAUUUGGGGAGCCCACAACACUCAAUCCAUUGGUGCCCUCUGGUGGUCAUUAUGGGAAGUGCCUGGAGAGUCCCUGCCAUGGAGGUGAACCGCUGCCCAGGACCAGCUAGAGCUUGGCCCCAGACCGCUCACAGAGAGCAGCCAUGAUGCUGCUAGCAUGGACAGGCCCUAAACCCACACCUACCUUGAGCAUGCAAGGAGAUGUUCUGUCUGAUCAUGAGUGAUAGAUUGUGUAACAGGCAGUCAGUGGGUCAGUCAACAAGCAAUUAUUAAAUGCCUACUGUGGGCCAGGCACUGUGUUAAGUGCUAGGGCCCUGAAGGAGCUCACUUUCUAAUGGGGGGAGGGGAACAAAUGUAAGCAACUCUGUACAAAUAAGCUCUGGACAGGACAAAUAGGAAAGGAUUAAUAGAGGGACAGAAUUAGAAUGAAGAGGGGUUGGGAGAGGCUUCCUAUAGAAAAUGAGAUUUUAGUUGGGACCUGAAGCUAGGGAGGUUAGUAGUCCAAGCAGACAAGGGAGAUCCUUCCAGGCAUAAGUGAUGGCCAGCGAGAAUGCCCAGAGCCAAGAGAUGGAGGGCCUUGUUUGUUUGGGCAGAUUA